This 66-nucleotide transfer RNA is filed under the name Scolytinae sp. BMNH 1043001. Its description in RNAcentral is "tRNA-Arg". Lineage: Eukaryota; Metazoa; Arthropoda; Insecta; Coleoptera; Curculionidae. The record is from RNAcentral.
AAACAAGAAGACAAACUAUUGCACUUAAUUUCGACUUAAGCCUUUGAUAUAAAAUAUCCUUGUUUU